CGACGCUGCGGCACCCGCUCCAGACAUGCUGCUGCUGAAGAAACACACGGAGGACAUCAGCAGCGUCUACGAGAUCCGCGAGAGGCUCGGCUCGGGGCCCUCCCCUCUCCACUCUCUUUCCCUCCUGCCUCUCCUCUCUUCCCACUUCCUUCCCACCUCCCACCGCCCCGUCUGCGGCAGGGGUGCCUUCUCCGAGGUGGUGCUGGCCCAGGAGCGGGGCUCCGCACACCUCGUGGCCCUCAAGUGCAUCCCCAAGAAGGCCCUCCGGGGCAAGGAGGCCCUGGUGGAGAACGAGAUCGCAGUGCUCCGUAGGAUCAGUCACCCCAACAUCGUCGCUCUGGAGGAUGUCCACGAGAGCCCUUCCCACCUCUACCUGGCCAUGGAACUGUGAGGAGGGCCUGGGCAGGCUGUGGGAGCCGGGGAGGGACUGAGCAGUGAGUGGGGCUGAAGGCCAGGCUGAGUGCCUGGGUCAGCCAAACCCCUGGCACCCCCAGGGUGACGGGUGGCGAGCUGUUUGACCGCAUCAUGGAGCGCGGCUCCUACACAGAGAAGGAUGCCAGCCAUCUGGUGGGUCAGGUCCUCGGCGCCGUUUCCUACCUGCACAGCCUGGGGAUCGUGCACCGGGACCUCAAGGUGCCUGGCUGGGGCCUCUGCACCCCACCCUCCCACCUGCCCACCUGGCCCUGCUUUUGUUUUCCCGGGAGCACGGCUGGGGCCUUUCUUGAUCUCCCGCUUCACCAAGGCUCUGGGGAACCUGAGAGUGCCUAGUCCCCAUCCUGUCCCAGCACCGGCACCGCGUCAGGACUGACCUGGCCCUUUUCCUGGUGUCCGUGUGUCACAGCCCGAAAACCUCCUGUAUGCCACGCCCUUUGAGGACUCGAAGAUCAUGGUCUCUGACUUUGGACUCUCCAAAAUCCAGGCUGGCAACAUGCUAGGCACCGCCUGUGGGACCCCUGGAUAUGUGGGUGAGGGACGACACCCUGAGGCUUGCUGGGAGUGGGGUGGCCUGGGGGACCCUAGACAGCCGGGAAGGCUGUUGUGCCCGUUGUCUUUGUGUGGGCCAUUCCUGGGCUUGAGUAGGCCGAGCCAGUGACACUGAGCGGCAUGGCUGCGUGUGUGCCUGUGCGUGCGUCUGUCUGUCUCUGGCCCCCAGCCCCAGAGCUCUUGGAGCAGAAACCCUACGGGAAGGCCGUAGAUGUGUGGGCCCUGGGCGUCAUCUCCUACAUCCUGUGAGUGACCGCUGGGAAGGCUUGUCUCCUGCCUGCCUGCCCCUGCUGGGUUGGGGAGGGUGGGACAGCUGGAUGAUUCAUCUGUGGGUGCCAGGCUGUGUGGGUACCCCCCCUUCUACGAUGAGAGCGACCCUGAGCUCUUCAGCCAGAUCCUGAGGGCCAGCUAUGAGUUUGACUCUCCUUUCUGGGAUGACAUCUCAGAAUCAGCCAAAGACUUCAUCCGGCACCUUCUGGAGCGAGACCCCCAGAAGAGGUUCACCUGCCAACAGGCCUUGCAGCAUCUUUGGAUCUCUGGGGACACAGCCUUCGACAGGGACAUCUUAGGCUCUGUCAGUGAGCAGAUCCAGAAGAACUUUGCUCGGACACACUGGAAGCGAGCCUUCAAUGCCACCUCGUUCCUGCGCCACAUCCGGAAGCUGGGGCAGAGCCCAGAGGGCGAGGGGGCCUCUGAGCAGGGCAUGGCCCGCCACAGCCACUCAGGCCUCCGUGCUGGCCAGCCCCCCAAGUGGUGAUGCCCAGGCAGAUGCCGAGGCCAAGUGGACUGACCCCCAGAUUUCCUUCCCUUGGAUGCUUUUGGUCCCCUCUCCCAACCCCUCCCCCUGGGGCUGGCCUCUGCUGGAGUUUGAGAUUUGAGGGUGUGGCGCAUGGCGCUGGGGUUGGAAUGGGGCACCCCCAAGUCUGUCCCCAGGCUCUGCCCUGCCUGGGGGCAGUGGCUCCCCUCCCCUGUUGCCUCUCCCGCCCCAGCCCCCCGCCCCGCCAAAAGCCGAGGAGGUGCUGGCAGGCGGGCCUCAGGGGCUGUCUUUCCUGCACGGCUGUUGUGUGCUUCGCUGAGUGUGGGUGGUCCUGCUUGUGUCAUGGUCAUGGCCUUCCAGCCCCCUCCAGUUUUCCCCAAACCAAUAAAGAAAGAUACAGC
This 2142-nucleotide small RNA is filed under the name Pongo abelii (Sumatran orangutan). RNAcentral's name for it is "retained intron". Lineage: Eukaryota; Metazoa; Chordata; Mammalia; Primates; Hominidae. The record is from RNAcentral.